RNAcentral lists this ribosomal RNA (253 nucleotides) under uncultured bacterium. RNAcentral describes it as "partial 16S ribosomal RNA". It matches the Rfam family "Bacterial small subunit ribosomal RNA", at positions 524 to 776 of the family's 1533-position model. The record is from RNAcentral.
GACGAACCGAGCGAACGUUGUUCGGAAUCACUGGGCUUAAAGGGCGCGUAGGCGGGCUCGCCAGUCCGUGGUGAAAUCCUCCGGCUCAACCGGAGAACUGCCUCGGAUACUGUGGGCCUCGAGGGUGGUAGGGGUAUGCGGAACUAUCGGUGGAGCGGUGAAAUGCGUUGAUAUCGAUAGGAACUCCGGUGGCGAAGGCGGCAUACUGGACCACUUCUGACGCUGAGGCGCGAAAGCCAGGGGAGCAAACGGG